Molecule: long non-coding RNA, 333 nt
Filed under: Meleagris gallopavo (turkey)
Lineage: Eukaryota; Metazoa; Chordata; Aves; Galliformes; Phasianidae
Description: lncRNA (ENSMGAG00000019681.1)
Source: RNAcentral
GUCUAGACUCUUUUUCAAGACUUGAUUUUCUUACUCAUUGGUUUGGGACUUUGCCAACAGCUACUUUCUGAAGAAAUGCUUGAGUAGUGCCACAAAAACAGAGCUGACGUGCAAGAAAGUCAUGUUAAAACCUCAUGUGGAAGGCAGGAAUUAACAUCAACUCUGUGGAGUUCUGGGUUAAGGAGGAUAAAGUGAUUCUGCCACAGUGUCCCCUACAGACUGCUGCUGCAAAUGGCCAAGACUGGGGAACCAGGACACCUAUUUAUGAGGCAAGAGACCCAUCUGCAGGAAUGGGCAGGAAAUAAAUACAGAGAGGAGAAAAACUUGAUUGCU